UACGGGGGGGGCAAGCGUUGUUCGGAAUUACUGGGCAUAAAGGGCUCGUAGGCGGCCAACUAAGUCAGACGUGAAAUCCCUCGGCUUAACCGGGGAACUGCGUCUGAUACUGGAUGGCUAGAGGUUGGGAGAGGGAUGCGGAAUUCCAGGUGUAGCGGUGAAAUGCGUAGAUAUCUGGAGGAACACCGGUGGCGAAGGCGGCAUCCUGGACCAAUUCUGACGCUGAGGAGCGAAAGCCAGGGGAGCAAACGGG
This 253-nucleotide ribosomal RNA is filed under the name uncultured bacterium. Its description in RNAcentral is "partial 16S ribosomal RNA". It matches the Rfam family "Bacterial small subunit ribosomal RNA", at positions 524 to 776 of the family's 1533-position model. The record is from RNAcentral.